UGGGGAAUUUUGGACAAUGGGCGAAAGCCUGAUCCAGCAAUGCCGCGUGUGUGAAGAAGGCCUUCGGGUUGUAAAGCACUUUUGUCCGGAAAGAAAUCCUUGGCUCUAAUACAGUCGGGGGAUGACGGUACCGGAAGAAUAAGCACCGGCUAACUACGUGCCAGCAGCCGCGGUAAUACGUAGGGUGCAAGCGUUAAUCGGAAUUACUGGGCGUAAAGCGUGCGCAGGCGGUUUGCUAAGACCGAUGUGAAAUCCCCGGGCUAACCUGGGAACUGCAUUGGUGACUGGCAGGCUAGAGUAUGGCAGAGGGGGGUUAGAAUUCCACGUGUAGCAGUGAAAUGCGUAGAGAUGUGGAGGAAUACCGAUGGCGAAGGCAGCCCCCUGGGCCAAUACUGACGCUCAUGCACGAAAGCGUGGGGAGCAAACAGGAUUAGAUACCCUGGUAGUCCACGCCCUAAACGAUGUCAACUAGUUGUUGGGGAUUCAUUUCCUUAGUAACGUAGCUAACGCGUGAAGUUGACCGCCUGGGGAGUACGGUCGCAAGAUUAAAACUUAAAUGAAUUGAC
Molecule: ribosomal RNA, 566 nt
Filed under: uncultured bacterium
Lineage: Bacteria
Description: partial 16S ribosomal RNA
Rfam family: Bacterial small subunit ribosomal RNA
Source: RNAcentral